RNAcentral lists this ribosomal RNA (301 nucleotides) under uncultured bacterium. Its description in RNAcentral is "partial 16S ribosomal RNA". It matches the Rfam family "Bacterial small subunit ribosomal RNA", at positions 509 to 809 of the family's 1533-position model. The record is from RNAcentral.
CAGUAGCCACGGUAAUACGAAGGGUGCAAGCGUUACUCGGAAUUACUGGGCGUAAAGCGUGCGUAGGUGGUGGUUUAAGUCCGUUGUGAAAGCCCUGGGCUCAACCUGGGAAUUGCAGUGGAUACUGGGUCACUAGAGUGUGGUAGAGGAUAGUGGAAUUUCCGGUGUAGCAGUGAAAUGCGUAGAGAUCGGAAGGAACAUCUGUGGCGAAGGCGACUAUCUGGGCCAACACUGACACUGAGGCACGAAAGCGUGGGGAGCAAACAGGAUUAGAUACCCGGGUAGUCCCUGUCUCUUAUAU